GCCUCCUAGGAAACAUCUCCUAUUCUUCCUUUUGAAGCCAACCACCUGAUUCCUUUUGCGAUAUAUGUCCAGUAGCCUAAAACACACCUAAAGCCACUUUCAUCUACAAAAUGUCCUUCAACAAAGCGUAAUGAAAAAUAGGUAAUCACAAUGACCAUAUCUCCUUCAAGCCAAACCUACGUAGUUUUGAAACUGAAGAUAGCCACCAC
This 209-nucleotide long non-coding RNA is filed under the name Elaeis guineensis (African oil palm). RNAcentral describes it as "long non-coding RNA (EGUI_LNC025933)". Lineage: Eukaryota; Viridiplantae; Streptophyta; Magnoliopsida; Arecales; Arecaceae. The record is from RNAcentral.